UGGGGAAUCUUGCACAAUGGGGGAAACCCUGAUGCAGCGACGCCGCGUGAGCGAUGAAGCCUUUCGGGGUGUAAAGCUCUUACGCCAGGGACGAUAGUGACGGUACCUGGAGAAGCAGCUGCGGCUAACUACGUGCCAGCAGCCGCGGUAAUACGUAGGCAGCAAGCGUUGUUCGGAAUUACUGGGCGUAAAGGGUGCGUAGGCGGUGCUCUAAGUUUGGUGUGAAAUCUCCCGGCUUAACUGGGAGGGUGCGCCGAAAACUGGAGUGCUUGAGUGUGGGAGAGGAAAGCGGAAUUCCUGGUGUAACGGUGAAAUGCGUAGAGAUCAGGAGGAACACCUGCGGUGUAGACGGCUUUCUGGACCAUAACUGACGCUGAGGCACGAAAGCGUG
This 391-nucleotide ribosomal RNA is filed under the name uncultured bacterium. Its description in RNAcentral is "bacterial SSU rRNA". It matches the Rfam family "Bacterial small subunit ribosomal RNA", at positions 355 to 763 of the family's 1533-position model. The record is from RNAcentral.